This 2487-nucleotide ribosomal RNA is filed under the name Triticum aestivum (bread wheat). RNAcentral describes it as "partial small subunit ribosomal RNA". Lineage: Eukaryota; Viridiplantae; Streptophyta; Magnoliopsida; Poales; Poaceae. The record is from RNAcentral.
AUGGGGGAGGCUGACGAUGCUAGGGAUGCGGUGGUGGAAGAGAUGGAUGUCGAUGGUGGCGACAGGCACCGUGGCAAGGACAAGGAAAGGAGGGAUAGACACAGGAGGGAGGAGAAGGAUCACCAUGGCAGUGGGAGGAGGGACAAGGAGAAGGAGAAAGAUAAGGAUGAGAGGAGGAGGGACAAGGAUGAUACCAAGCAUAGGGACAGGGAGAGGGAGAGGGAAAGAGAUAGGGACAGAGACAGGGAUAGCAGCAAGCACAGGGAUAGGGAUUCAGAGCGUGACCGUGGCCGUGACCGUGAUCGCGGGAAGGAUCGGGAAAGGGAUACAGAGAGGGAGCGGGAAAGGGAGAAGGAAAGGAGGGAUAGGGACAAGGACAGGAGCCGUAACAGAGACAAGAACAAGGACAAGGAGGAUAGGGAACGGGAGAAGUCGAGGGGAAAGGACCGUGGAGAAGACGCAGAUUUGCCUAAGGGCGGUGAGGGAGACCAGAAGAAGGAAGGUGACCUCCCAGGAGAGCCUGACCAGGCCUCCACAUCUGCCCUCCGGGACCGCAUUGCGAGGGCCAAGGAAGAAAGGUUGAAGGAUAAAAAGGAAGGGGGAAUUCUGGAUGAUAAAGAUGAUGCUUCAGAGAUACUAUCCUGGGUAGGCAAGAGUCGCAAACUUGACGAGAAAAGACAAGCUGAAAAGGAAAAGGCGUUACGUCUUGCACGAGUAUUUGAGGAACAGGAUGAUAUGUUAGCAGAAAAUAGUGAUGACGACUAUGAUGAGGCUGAUAAACUUGGUGGAGACCACUUAUCUGGAGUGAAGGUUCUUCACGGGCUUGACAAAGUCAUAGAAGGUGGAGCAGUUGUCAUGACACUCAAAGAUCAGAGUAUUCUGGCUGAUGGGGAUAUCAAUGAAGAGGCUGAUAUGCUUGAGAACAUUGAGAUUGGUGAGCAGAAGCAAAGAAACGAAGCUUACAGGGCUGCACAUAAGAAAGGAACAUAUGAUGACAAGUUCAAUGAUGACCCGAUGUCAAAGAAACCUAUGCUCUCACAGUAUGAUGACCCAAUGGAAGAUGAGGGAGUGACACUUGAUGAAGGUGGACGCUUCACCGGUGAAGCAGAGAAGAAGUUAGAAGAGCUCCGCAAAAGGAUUGAAGGUGGUUCUGUUCUGAAAAAGACAGAAAACCUUACUUCCGCAGCAAAGAUGGCAUCAGAUUACUACACUGCUGACGAAAUGCUGCAGUUUAAGAAACCAAAGAAAAAGAAAUCCCAUAGGAAGAAAGAAAAGCUAGAUCUGGAUGCACUUGAAGCAGAAGCGAUUGCUUCUGGACUGGGAGCAGCUGAUCUUGGGUCCAGGAAUAAUGGUAAACGACAGUCUGCUAGGGAGGUAGAGCAAAAGGCUGAUGCUGAAAAGAGAAGCAAUGCGUACCAAGUAGCCAUUUCAAAGGCUGAAGAGGCAUCAAAAGCGUUGCGUCAGGAGAAAAUGCCCGGUAAACCGGCUGAUGAGGAAGAACUUGUUUUUGGUGACGAUUAUGAAGAUCUGCAAAAAUCUCUGGAGCAAGCAAGGAAGCUAUCUCUAAGGAAGCAGGAAGAGGCUGCAGGUUCUGGUCCUCUGUCUGUAGCAGAAAUGGCUGCUGCAAACAAGGGGCAAGGAGAUGCAGAUGCUGCAGAGGGAGAUGCACAACAGAAUAAGGUUGUUAUCACUGAGAUGGAAGAGUUCGUGUGGGGUCUGCAAUUGAAUGAAGAAACACGCAAGCCAGAAGCAGAAGAUGUGUUUAUGGAUGAAGACGAUGAUGAUAUGCCUUCAGGUAUUACAGCAAAAGAUGACACAAGCAGAUUGGGAGUCAUCAAAGAGGAAGCUGUCAUUGAAGACCCAAAAAAGGAUGUAGAGGAGCAAGAAGUCACACCGGAUGAGGUUGUGCAUGAAGCUGCAGUUGGCAAGGGUUUGGGUGGAGCUUUGAAGUUUCUAAAGGAGCGAGGGACCCUCAAUGAGGGCACAAAUUGGGGAGGCAGAACCACGGACAAGAAGAAAAGCAAGCUUGUUGGUAUUGAGGAAGAGGCUGAGGACGGAAAAAAAGAAAUCCGCAUAGAAAGAAUGGAUGAAUUCGGUCGAGUGAUGACACCUAAGGAGGCGUUUAGGGAUCUUUCGCACAAAUUCCAUGGCAAGGGACCAGGUAAAAUGAAGCUGGAAAAACGGCAGAAGAAGUACCAGGAUGAUAUGAAAGCUAAGCAAAUGAAAUCUUCUGACACGCCUUUGAUGUCCGCGGAAAAGAUGAGAGACGCUCAAGCUCGUGGCCAAACACCAUACCUUGUUUUAAGUGGCAAUGCAAAAUCAGGCCCGACAGGCGAUGCUAGUGGCUUUGCCAGCGUGGAGAAGGCGCAUCCCGGGAGUCUGACGCCCAUGCUCGGCGACAAAAAGGUGGAGCACUUUCUGGGCAUCAAACGAAGCGCCCAGUUUGGUGGCAUGCCGCCGCUGCCGCCAAAGAAGCCUAAGAAUUGA